UACUCAGACUGGCAGCAUCACCGCAGCUUUGGAUUCGUCUGAACCAGGAUCAUGUUCAAACUCUUCAUUGUUUUGGUCUCUCUGCACUUCUGCUCUACAGACCAAUCAAAAAACAACGUUCAUCAGACUCCAGCUUCGUUGAUCAAAGAACCAGGAGAAUCAGUCCAGAUAAGCUGCAAUCAUUCAAACACCAAUUUCUAUAUGAUCCAGUGGUACAAACAGCCUCCUGGGAAAACUGACAUGACUCUCCUCGGUUACGUUUAUUAUUCUGCACCAACUGUUGAAAUGCAGUUCCAAAACCUGUACAAUGUGUCGGGUAGCGGCCAGAGUCUGUCAUCUCUCGUCAUUCCAAAGCUGAGGCAAUCUGAGGACAGCGCCGUGUAUUUCUGUGCUGCCAGUGAUGCACAGCACUGCAUGAAGCCUCAGACUCCAACAAAAACCCUCAUUGAUACCAGAGGAGCCAUCAUUCACCUGCUGAUGGCAGCAAGAGAUACUGGAAAACCUCAGAGGAGAGACUGAUCUGUGGAGCUGUUCUGUCCACUAGGAGGCGAUGUUUCUCACAUAAUGCUCUCAAUCUGAAGCAGCUAA
Poeciliopsis prolifica (blackstripe livebearer) is the source of this 588-nucleotide non-coding RNA. The record is from the annotation of a RefSeq genome assembly. Lineage: Eukaryota; Metazoa; Chordata; Actinopteri; Cyprinodontiformes; Poeciliidae.